This 76-nucleotide transfer RNA is filed under the name Prevotella sp. oral taxon 299 str. F0039. Its description in RNAcentral is "tRNA-Met". It matches the Rfam family "tRNA". Rfam says of the family: Transfer RNA (tRNA) molecules are approximately 80 nucleotides in length. Their secondary structure includes four short double-helical elements and three loops (D, anti-codon, and T loops). Further hydrogen bonds mediate the characteristic L-shaped molecular structure. tRNAs have two regions of fundamental functional importance: the anti-codon, which is responsible for specific mRNA codon recognition, and the 3' end, to which the tRNAs corresponding amino acid is attached (by aminoacyl-tRNA synthetases). tRNAs cope with the degeneracy of the genetic code in two manners: having more than one tRNA (with a specific anti-codon) for a particular amino acid; and 'wobble' base-pairing, i.e. permitting non-standard base-pairing at the 3rd anti-codon position. Lineage: Bacteria; Pseudomonadati; Bacteroidota; Bacteroidia; Bacteroidales; Prevotellaceae. The record is from RNAcentral.
CGCGGAGUGGAGCAGUUGGUAGCUCGCCAGGCUCAUAACCUGGAGGUCAUACGUUCGAGUCGUGUCUCCGCAACUA